RNAcentral lists this small RNA (28 nucleotides) under Bombyx mori (domestic silkworm). RNAcentral describes it as "ovarian small RNA-5363". Lineage: Eukaryota; Metazoa; Arthropoda; Insecta; Lepidoptera; Bombycidae. The record is from RNAcentral.
GCGCGGAAUCCAAACUGCUCGUCUAUGA